GACGAACGCUGGCGGCGUGCCUAAUACAUGCAAGUUGAGCGAUGAAGAUUGGUGCUUGCACCAAUUUGAAGAGCAGCGAACGGGUGAGUAACGCGUGGGGAAUCUGCCUUUGAGCGGGGGACAACAUUUGGAAACGAAUGCUAAUACCGCAUAACAACUUUAAACAUAAGUUUUAAGUUUGAAAGAUGCAAUUGCAUCACUCAAAGAUGAUCCCGCGUUGUAUUAGCUAGUUGGUGAGGUAAAGGCUCACCAAGGCGAUGAUACAUAGCCGACCUGAGAGGGUGAUCGGCCACAUUGGGACUGAGACACGGCCCAAACUCCUACGGGAGGCAGCAGUAGGGAAUCUUCGGCAAUGGACGAAAGUCUGACCGGGCAACGCCGCGUGAGUGAAGAAGGUUUUCGGAUCGUAAAACUCUGUUGGUAGAGAAGAACGUUGGUGAGAGUGGAAAGCUCAUCAAGUGACGGUAACUACCCAGAAAGGGACAGCUAACUACGUG
RNAcentral lists this ribosomal RNA (497 nucleotides) under uncultured bacterium. RNAcentral describes it as "partial 16S ribosomal RNA". It matches the Rfam family "Bacterial small subunit ribosomal RNA", at positions 28 to 507 of the family's 1533-position model. The record is from RNAcentral.